CAGCAGCCGCGGUAAUACGUAGGGUGCAAGCGUUACUCGGAAUUACUGGGCGUAAAGGGCGCGUAGGCGGACAGUUAAGUUGGGGGUGAAAGCCCGGGGCUCAACCUCGGAAUUGCCUUCAAUACUGGCUGUCUUGAGUACGGGAGAGGUGUGUGGAACGCCGAGUGUAGAGGUGAAAUUCGUAGAUAUUCGGAAGAACACCAGUGGCGAAGGCGACACACUGGCCCGUUACUGACGCUGAGGCGCGAAAGCGUGGGGAGCAAACAGG
This 268-nucleotide ribosomal RNA is filed under the name uncultured bacterium. Its description in RNAcentral is "partial 16S ribosomal RNA". It matches the Rfam family "Bacterial small subunit ribosomal RNA", at positions 509 to 776 of the family's 1533-position model. The record is from RNAcentral.